AUUGGUGGUGUAGGGGUAAAAUCCGUAGAGAUCACCAGGAAUACCCAUUGCGAAGGCGAUCUGCUGGAACUCAACUGACGCUAAUGCGUGAAAGCGUGGGGAGCAAACAGGAUUAGAUACCCUGGUAGUCCACGCCCUAAACGAUGUAUACUAGUUGUUGCUAAGCUAGUCUUGGCAGUAAUGCACCUAACGGAUUAAGUAUACCGCCUGGGGAGUACGGUCGCAAGAUUAAAACUCAAAGGAAUAGACGGGGACCCGCACAAGCGGUGGAGCAUGUGGUUUAAUUCGAAGAUACGCGAAGAACCUUACCCGGACUUGAUAUCUAACAAAUCAUCUAGAGAUAGAAGAGUGUCUGCUUGCAGAAAUGUUAAGACAGGUGCUGCACGGCUGUCGUCAGCUCGUGUCGUGAGAUGUUGGGUUAAGUCCCGCAACGAGCGCAACCCACGUCAUUAGUUGCUAACAGUUCGGCUGAGCACUCUAAUGAGACUGCCUUCGUAAGGAGGAGGAAGGUGUGGACGACGUCAAGUCAUCAUGGCCCUUAUGUCCGGGGC
RNAcentral lists this ribosomal RNA (551 nucleotides) under Campylobacter concisus. RNAcentral's name for it is "bacterial SSU rRNA". It matches the Rfam family "Bacterial small subunit ribosomal RNA", at positions 666 to 1214 of the family's 1533-position model. The record is from RNAcentral. Lineage: Bacteria; Pseudomonadati; Campylobacterota; Epsilonproteobacteria; Campylobacterales; Campylobacteraceae.